This 99-nucleotide ribosomal RNA is filed under the name Acanthosepion pharaonis. The record is from RNAcentral. Lineage: Eukaryota; Metazoa; Mollusca; Cephalopoda; Sepiida; Sepiidae.
CAUUGAAACUCCGGUUCCCGUACGAUCACCAAAGUUAAGAAACGUUGAGCCUAGUCAGUACCUAGAUGGGUAACCACUUGGAAUACCAGGUGCUGCAGG